This 253-nucleotide ribosomal RNA is filed under the name uncultured bacterium. RNAcentral's name for it is "partial 16S ribosomal RNA". It matches the Rfam family "Bacterial small subunit ribosomal RNA", at positions 524 to 776 of the family's 1533-position model. The record is from RNAcentral.
UACGUAGGGGGCUAGCGUUGUCCGGAAUCAUUGGGCGUAAAGCGCGUGUAGGCGGUCCGGUAAGUCCGCUGUGAAAGUCGAGGGCUCAACCCUCGAAUGCCGGUGGAUACUGUCGGGCUUGAGUACGGGAGAGGCGAGUGGAAUUCCUGGUGUAGCGGUGAAAUGCGCAGAUAUCAGGAGGAACACCGGUGGCGAAGGCGGGUCUCUGGGCCACUACUGACGCUGAGAAGCGAAAGCAUGGGGAGCGAACAGG